GCACUACAUUUUUACUGUGUUACCUCUGUGGGAAAAGGAGGAAGAAGAAAGAGGACAUGGUCAAGGAAAGAGAAGCUUCAAUGCAUGAAGGAACGGGAUUCAAGAACAAACCACAUACCAUGUUCUCCUCUCUCUCAACUCAGUUUUUCCAAAAGUGUAGUUAAUCGCAAAAAAAAAAAAAAAAGUGUUUGAGUCUGUCAGAACACCGUGUGACCACCCCGGUCAGGUGAGACUGGCCGAGAACGAUCAUCUACAGCAGAGAAUGAAAUCUCGCAAACGAGCUUCAUCCUAGCCGUUACUCACGCUCUGAUCACACGGUCUUGAUUCAUCCACCAGAUGUUUGUUCCUGUCUCCUUAGAAAUCAAGGACACAGUAGUACGAUCCUAUAGAACAGAUCCUGUUCAAGUAAGGUCGUGACCGUUGUUCUCUGCGUUGAUUAUAUAAACACUUGAUUUUGUUUCAUUCUUAGCGAUGUGGGACUUGUUUCUUAUAUAUAGCUAUACCCAAUUCCAUUAUCUUUCAUCCUGCCACUGAAAACAAACAUAAACAUGGCGAAAACACUUCACACAGACCCUUCCUCUAUUUUCAAUCUUCUCAAAUCAUACGCACUUUCACCCAAUAACAUCCUCAAAGCCAAAGAACUCUUCAAUCAAAUUCAAAACCCCACUUUAUCCCAUUGGAACAUCAUGAUCCGUGGUUGGUCCCAAACUCAACAACCCAUUCAAGCAAUUUACACUUACAACAUCAUGUAUAGCAAAGGGUUAAUUGGUAAUAAUAUCACUUACCUUUUUCUCAUCAAGGCAUGUGGGCGUAUACCACAUGGUUCUUACACCACUAGAAUGGUUCAUUCUCGUGUUUUCAAACUUGGGUUUGACUCAGUUCUGUUUGUUUCUAAUGCUUUGGUACAUUUGUAUGCGGGAUUUGGUGAAUUGGGUUUCGCGCGUAAGGUGUUUGAUGAAAUGUCUGAACGGGAUUUGGUUUCUUGGAAUUCGUUGAUUUGUGGGUAUGGUCGGUGUAAGAGGUUUAGAGAGGUUUUAGAUGUUUUUGAAGAGAUGAGGAUGGAUAAUGUGAAGGGUGAUGCUGUGACAAUGGUUAAGGUUGUUUUGGCUUGUUCUGUUUUGGGUGAGUGGAAUGUUGCUGAUGCCAUGGUUGAGUAUAUUGAGGAAAACGAGGUGGAGGUUGAUGUUUACCUGGGAAAUACACUGAUUGAUAUGUAUGGACGGCGCCGUAUGGUUAAUCUGGCCAUGCGAGUAUUUGAUCGAAUGCAUGAUAGGAAUUUGGUUACUUGGAAUGUUAUGAUCAAGUGUUAUGUGAAAACAGGAGACUUGGUUGCUGCAAGGGGUUUGUUUGAUGUAAUGCCGCAGAGGGAUGUGAUCUCGUGGACUUCUAUGAUCACUGGUUACUCUCAAGCAGGCCAGUUUGCGAAUGCAGUGAGACUUUUUAAAGAAAUGAUGGAAGCUAAGGUGAAGCCGGAUGAAAAAUCCGUUGCCAGCGCGCUUUCUGCGUGUGCUCAUAUUGGUUCCCUUGAUGUUGGGGAGGCCAUUCAUCACUAUAUCAGGAAAUAUGGUGUGAAAGCUGAUGUUUAUGUUGGAAAUGCUUUGAUUGAUAUGUAUUGCAAGUGUGGUGCGGUUGAGAAAGCAUUGGCGGUGUUUGAAGAGAUGGGAAAGAAGGACUCGGUAUCGUGGACAUCAGUGAUCUCAGGCCUAGCUGUUAAUGGUUCAGUAGAUUCCGCACUUAAUUUAUUUUCACUGAUGUUGCGGGAAGGUGUUAGGCCUACUCAUGGAACCUUUGUAGGAGUUUUGCUGGCCUGUGCUCAUGCUGGAGUGGUUGAUAAGGGAUUGGAAUAUUUUGAAAGUAUGGAAAAAGUUUAUGGAUUGAAACCGGAAAUGAAACAUUAUGGUUGUGUUGUUGAUCUUUUGAGUCGCUCGGGUAAUUUAGAAAGGGCAUAUGAGUUCAUAAGGAGAAUGCCUGUGAAUCCGGAUGUUGUAGUAUGGAUGAUAUUGCUGAGUGCUUCUCAGGUUCAUGGAAAUCUACCCUUGGCUGAGAUUGCAACAAAAAAGCUUCUAGAGCUGGAUCCUUCUAAUAGCGGCAACUAUGUACUAUCCUCUAAUACUUAUGCAGUGUCCAAUAGGUGGGAAGAUGUUGUUAAAAUGAGAGGACUGAUGAAGAAUAGUAAUGUAAUGAAACCAUCAGCUAGCAGUUCCAUAGAAGUAAGUGAUUCAAACAGUUCUCAGGAUACCAAAUUGAGUGUUAUGGAGAACAAUCGUUUAUAACUAUAUAAAUUGAUUUCUUUUGUGGGACAUCAUGGUCAAUACAAGGGGAAAAACCAAUAGCCCUGUGAUUUACGCCCGACCCUUGAUGGCCUAGUCGUCUUCGAUUUCUUACAAGUGACUUCUAUCUGUUGCCAAGGGAUACAAGUAUAGUUGCUUAUUGUGGAUUACAGGCCGAGUAUUUAUCAUUCAUGGCUGCUGCUAACUUAUAUACAGCUAUUAUAAUAACUCAUCAAAGCUGCAGCACAAAAUGGAACAAACCGAUCCAAAAAAGAUGAGCCAUAUAGCAGCUAGGGAUAAUGAUGUUAAAGGACAUCAUCAAAUUCAUGGGCAAAGGUUGUUUAAGCUUAUUCACCUGGGUAUUGAAAGGGAAGACACCUUGACUUUUGUUUUUUUGUUUUUUUUAACCAAGAAGACACCUUGACUUAGGAAACCCCUUUUCCAACAACAUAUAUUUUGACAUCCAGAAACAUCUUUCAACUGUCAAUAACUAGACACUGGUGUAUCUGCACUCAAGUUCAAGGGUGUUGCAGGAAAGAGGGGAGAGCACAUCACGGCAUGGACAAGCUACAUUUUCUGUUUUACUCUUUCAGGUAACUUUGCAACAUACCCAUCAUUAUGUUUUCCCUGUCUUCUACGAUGUGGAUCCCACUGAUAUGAGGCACCAGCGAGGGUCUUUCGCCCACUGAUAUGAGGCACCAGCGAGGGUCUUUCGCACAGGAUUUUGCUAUGCACGGUGAAAGGUUUGGAGAUGAUAGUGAAAAGGUUUGGAAUUGACUCGAGGAUAAACAUGUGUUCACUUCUAAAAACAGGGUCUUAGGAAAGACAACUCUAGCCAAACUUGUCUACAAGAAAAUCCAUAACCAAUUCAAUUUUAGUUGCUUUCUUGAGAAUGUUAGAGAGAUUUCUAUUAAAGAGAUGGUCUGCUUUGUUUACUACUAGAAAAUUGCUUUCUCAUCUAAAAUUAAGCAUGAGAAUUGUAAGUUUGGACCAAGGAAAGGAGACAAUACGGAAUCUCUUAUUCAAUAAAAAAGUUCUCCUUGCUUGAUGACCUAAGUUCUGAUAUCCAACUAGAAAAUUUAGCUGGAAAGCGAGAAUAGUUUGAUCUAAGGACAAUGGUAAUAAUAACAACUAGAGCUAGGCAUCUCCUAGUAUCACUAGGCUUGUGUGAAAGUUAUGCUGCUCAGAUCUUAAACAGCAAAUGAUCCGUUUAACUUUUUUGUCGAAGAGCUUUUAGAAGAGGAAAACCUGAAGAAGCUUAUAUAAAGUUGUCAAAACGGGCGAUUCAAUGUGCUAGAGGUAUUCCCUUGGCACUCAAAGUGUUGGGUUCAUUCCUCUGUGGACGAAGGGAAUCUGUAUAGGAAGACACUUUGAAAAUGUUGCAGCAGAAUCUGCAAAAUGAUAUUUACAAGACUUUAAGAAGUUAUGAUGGACUUUAAGAAGAAUUUAUUCACUAAUCAGAUCCUAUAUUUUUGUGGAUCAUUUGAUUUCAGCAAACACAUCCAAAGAAUUUAUUCACUAACCAAAAGAUAGUGCUCUGUUAUUAUUGCUCACUCACAAAACUGAACUGAUGGAACAACUCUGCCUUUGUGCCUAUAAAAACCCAAUUCGUACCGCCGAUUCCGAACCUAAGCGAGUUCGGAUUGCAUCUUCCGAACAUAAGCGUUUUCGGAUCUUAACUUCCGAAGUUGUUUUGCGCUAACCAAAUAAACUCACAAUUCAAAAUUAAAAGCAAACCCAUGGAGAUUCAACUUUAUGAAGAUACUAACUGGUUUCUAGUGGGAUUGAGGCUAGUUGUUUUGAUUUCGUAUUGUAUAAUACAUACCAACCUAGGUCCAAAAUCAGGGGUAUUUUUGGAUUUUUUGGGGGCCUGAAAGUACCAUGGGGGGCCUAAGAGCAAUUUUCACGAGACAAUCUCUACUUUCGAGUACAAACCUAACUCCCCAACUUUCAUAGGUCUUUUUAAGUCAUCCUCCAUUUAAGGUCCACAAAGAAAGGACCUCCACC
This is an RNA transcript of Trifolium pratense (red clover), 4277 nucleotides long. It is a transcript of the gene named pentatricopeptide repeat-containing protein At2g22410, mitochondrial-like, with no coding region annotated. NCBI's taxonomy places the organism in Eukaryota, Viridiplantae, Streptophyta, Magnoliopsida, Fabales, Fabaceae. The record is from RefSeq and is a predicted model, not a curated record. The transcript has 2 exons.